CAGGAGCUGAGUGUCCAAGUGACAGAAGACAGAGCACAGUUACAGCAACGUGAACAAACUCCAUCAUGGCUCGUCUGCUGAUAGUGUGGCUUCAGACUCUGAAGUGUGUUCUAGAUAUACGAGACUCAGGCCAGUGUGGCACCAGAGGAAUUCAAAGCCAGUAUCAAUCGUGUGAACAGCUGCCUGAGAAAGACGCUCCCGGUGAAUGUGCGGUGGCUUCUGUGUGGUUGUCUUUGUUGCUGUUGCACACUGGGCUUCAGUUUGUGGCCCGUCAUCUGCCUCAGCAAAAGGACAAGAAGAUCUAUAGAGAAACUUUGGAGUAGGAAAACAGCAGACUUUACCACAAGUUGUGUUUGCAUUGGAGACUAAGCAAAAGGAAGUGUGAAACCAACAACAUGAUGGAAUAUGUAAUCCUAAUAGAAUUCCUACCUAAGGUCC
Molecule: long non-coding RNA, 438 nt
Organism: Oreochromis niloticus (Nile tilapia)
Lineage: Eukaryota; Metazoa; Chordata; Actinopteri; Cichliformes; Cichlidae
Exons: 5
Source: RefSeq, a predicted model, not a curated record